AGUGAACGCUGGCGGUAGGCCUAACACAUGCAAGUCGAACGGCAGCACAGUAAGAGCUUGCUCUUACGGGUGGCGAGUGGCGGACGGGUGAGGAAUACAUCGGAAUCUACUUUUUCGUGGGGGAUAACGUAGGGAAACUUACGCUAAUACCGCAUACGACCUACGGGUGAAAGCAGGGGAUCUUCGGACCUUGCGCGAUUGAAUGAGCCGAUGUCGGAUUAGCUAGUUGGCGGGGUAAAGGCCCACCAAGGCGACGAUCCGUAGCUGGUCUGAGAGGAUGAUCAGCCACACUGGCAGUGAGACACGGUCCAGACUCCUACGGGAGGAAGCAGUGGGGAAUAUUGGACGAUGGGGGCAAGCCUGAUCCAGCAAUACCGCGUGGGUGAAGAAGGACUUCGGGUUGUAAAGCCCUUUUGUUGGGAAAGAAGAGCAGCAGGUUAAUACCCCGCUGUUCUGACGGUACCCAAAGAAUAAGCACCGGCUAACUUCGUG
This 492-nucleotide ribosomal RNA is filed under the name uncultured bacterium. RNAcentral's name for it is "partial 16S ribosomal RNA". It matches the Rfam family "Bacterial small subunit ribosomal RNA", at positions 29 to 507 of the family's 1533-position model. The record is from RNAcentral.